RNAcentral lists this ribosomal RNA (467 nucleotides) under uncultured bacterium. RNAcentral describes it as "partial 16S ribosomal RNA". It matches the Rfam family "Bacterial small subunit ribosomal RNA", at positions 28 to 507 of the family's 1533-position model. The record is from RNAcentral.
GACGAACGCUGGCGGCGUGCUUAACACAUGCAAGUCGAACGGAAAGGCUCCAGCUUGCUGGCGUACUCGAGUGGCGAACAGGUGAGUAACACGUGGGUAAUCUGCCCUGCACUCUGGGAUAAGCCUGGGAAACUGGGUCUAAUACUGGAUAUGACCUUUCUCCUUAUGGGGUUUGGUGGAAAGUUUUUCGGUGUAGGAUGAGCCCGCGGCCUAUCAGCUUGUUGGUGGGGUGAUGGCCUACCAAGGCGACGACGGGUAGCCGGCCUGAGAGGGUGAUCGGCCACAUUGGGACUGAGAUACGGCCCAGACUCCUACGGGAGGCAGCAGUAGGGAAUAUUGCACAAUGGGCGGAAGCCUGAUGCAGCGACGCCGCGUGAGGGAUGACGGCCUUCGGGUUGUAAACCUCUUUCAGCAGGGACGAAGCGUAAGUGACGGUACCUGCAGAAGAAGCACCGGCUAACUAUGUG